UACGUAGGGUGCAAGCGUUAAUCGGAAUUACUGGGCGUAAAGCGUGCGCAGGCGGUGAUGUAAGACAGGUGUGAAAUCCCCGGGCUUAACCUGGGAACUGCAUUUGUGACUGCAUCGCUGGAGUGCGGCAGAGGGGGAUGGAAUUCCGCGUGUAGCAGUGAAAUGCGUAGAUAUGCGGAGGAAUACCGAUGGCGAAGGCAGCCCCCUGGGAUAACACUGACGCUCAUGCACGAAAGCGUGGGGAGCGAACAGG
Molecule: ribosomal RNA, 253 nt
Filed under: uncultured bacterium
Lineage: Bacteria
Description: partial 16S ribosomal RNA
Rfam family: Bacterial small subunit ribosomal RNA
Source: RNAcentral